Molecule: ribosomal RNA, 422 nt
Filed under: uncultured prokaryote
Description: bacterial SSU rRNA
Rfam family: Bacterial small subunit ribosomal RNA
Source: RNAcentral
UGAGGAAUAUUGGUCAAUGGGCGCAAGCCUGAACCAGCCAUCCCGCGUGAAGGAAGAAGGCGCUAUGCGUUGUAAACUUCUUUUCCAGGGAAAUAAAAUUUCGUACGUGUACGGAACUGAAGGUACCCUGGGAAUAAGCAUCGGCUAACUCCGUGCCAGCAGCCGCGGUAAUACGGAGGAUGCAAGCGUUAUCCGGAUUUAUUGGGUUUAAAGGGUGCGCAGGCGGAAAAAUAAGUCAGUGGUGAAAUCCUGCAGCUUAACUGUAGAACUGCCGUUGAUACUGUUAGUCUUGAGUAUGGUCAAGGUAGGCGGAAUGUGUAAUGUAGCGGUGAAAUGCUUAGAUAGUACACAGAACACCGAUUGCGAAGGCAGCUUACUGGGCCAUUACUGACGCUGAUGCACGAAAGCGUGGGGAUCAAACA